ACCCUAACCGGAGCAUUGACU
RNAcentral lists this microRNA (21 nucleotides) under Gadus morhua (Atlantic cod). RNAcentral's name for it is "gmo-miR-430c-5p". Its record names the gene gmo-miR-430c-5p. The record is from miRBase by way of RNAcentral. Lineage: Eukaryota; Metazoa; Chordata; Actinopteri; Gadiformes; Gadidae.